Molecule: ribosomal RNA, 477 nt
Filed under: uncultured bacterium
Lineage: Bacteria
Description: bacterial SSU rRNA
Rfam family: Bacterial small subunit ribosomal RNA
Source: RNAcentral
CAUGGCUCAGGACGAACGCUGGCGGCGCGCCUAAAACAUGCAAGUCGAACGAGAAGCCCGGGCUUGCCCGGGUGGACAGUGGCGAACGGGUGAGUAACACGUGAGGAACCUGCCCCGAAGACCGGGACAACACCGGGAAACCGGUGCUAAUACCGGAUGUCUUCACCGGAUCGCAUGGUCUGGUGAAGAAAUGGAUUCCGCUUCGGGAUGGCCUCGCGGCCUAUCAGCUUGUUGGUGAGGUAACGGCUCACCAAGGCAACGACGGGUAGCUGGUCUGAGAGGAUGUCCAGCCACACUGGGACUGAGACACGGCCCAGACUCCUACGGGAGGCAGCAGUUAGGAAUCUUGCGCAAUGGACGAAAGUCUGACGCAGCGACGCCGCGUGCGGGAUGACGGCUUCGGGGUUGUAAACCGCUUCAGCAGGGACGAAAGUUGACGGGUAACCUGCAUAAGAAGUCCCCGGUCCAACUAACGUC